AUGCAAAGCAAGCAUGUAAAAGUGAAUUACCUAUUACUUACCCGAAUUCGGAGCUCUCCAGGAGCGUUCGCAGAUCUGCCCCGUAGCGUGUCCAAUGCUGCCACUUUCUACAGAGCCGAGGAGGGGAGCUCGACGGAGAAGGUGUUCUGGUCUCAAUAUGCCGAGGCUGGACAUCCGGUGCCCCUUAGCGACCAGCUGAAGCAGCUGGUCGAGCUCCACAAGGUGGCCGAACAGGCCAUGAAGGGCCUCGUAGUUCGGCUGUGGCCCAAGGAGGCCAUGCCUGGGAGCUACUUCGGCCUUGUGCGGCGGCUGGUGGAUGCUUGUCCAUGGGUUGAAGUCAUCAAGCACUCCGCCUGCAUUGAAGGUGCCCGUCGGGCCCUUGCCCAUGCUAAAGUGCACUGGGGCAGGAUGGACGCUGAGAAGCUUGUGACGGACGCGCCACCGCUGGGCAAGGAGUAUCACACGCCCGAGAUGUAUUAUAAGGGUCUCCUGAAGGGUGCCCGCAUUAUUGCGGGUGAGUGCUCCAAAGAUGUAAUAUUUGAGUAG
This 546-nucleotide ribosomal RNA is filed under the name Triticum aestivum (bread wheat). RNAcentral describes it as "partial small subunit ribosomal RNA". The record is from RNAcentral. Lineage: Eukaryota; Viridiplantae; Streptophyta; Magnoliopsida; Poales; Poaceae.